RNAcentral lists this transfer RNA (72 nucleotides) under Microbacterium sp. SUBG005. RNAcentral describes it as "tRNA-OTHER". It matches the Rfam family "tRNA". From Rfam's summary of the family: Transfer RNA (tRNA) molecules are approximately 80 nucleotides in length. Their secondary structure includes four short double-helical elements and three loops (D, anti-codon, and T loops). Lineage: Bacteria; Bacillati; Actinomycetota; Actinomycetes; Micrococcales; Microbacteriaceae. The record is from RNAcentral.
AGGGCGGUAGCUCAAUUGGCAGAGCAGCGGUCUCCAAACCGCAGGUUGCAGGUUCGAUUCCUGUCCGCCCUG